This 601-nucleotide long non-coding RNA is filed under the name Erythranthe guttata (spotted monkey flower). RNAcentral's name for it is "long non-coding RNA (EGUT_LNC001956)". The record is from RNAcentral. Lineage: Eukaryota; Viridiplantae; Streptophyta; Magnoliopsida; Lamiales; Phrymaceae.
GGGAAACCAUUAUCUUGGAAUUAUUUGUAAUACGGCUAUUCCACGUUCUCGGUGCUUGCUUCAAGCCAUAUAACGCUUUAUUCAGCUUCAAAACAUUAAAAUGCAAAAUGAAAACCACUCAAAAGACAAAAAAAAAUAAAAAAUAAAAAAAAAAUCAGACUCAUCAAAACAACAUAAUCUUUUUGAAUGAAAGACUUAUGUGCAACAUGAAAUUGCAAAUUGCAAAUAACAAAAAGGAAAAAGAGACUUACCCCCAAAACACAGGUGAUUGCAAAAUGCAACAAUAAACAACAUCUCACCCCAAAUCCCUUGCCGCCAGCCUUAGCUCCGCCACAAACCCUAGGGUCUUCGCCACCGCCGUAAUGAACCCAAUCAAUGGAGUGCAACCAGUAAAAGUCGGCGAGGAUGGUGGGGCCCAAGACGGAGAUACUAUGGGGGAGGGAACGGAAGGUGGAUUCCAAACGCCCUUGAAGACGUGCAUCAAAUCUGGUGGGUCUGUUGCCGUAGAACCACUACUGAAGAUCAGGACGAGAAAUUUCUGAAUUGCCUUACCGUAUCAAUCUUCGCCACCUUCAACCUCUCAUACGCCACUCGCCUUCUU